RNAcentral lists this ribosomal RNA (490 nucleotides) under uncultured bacterium. RNAcentral describes it as "bacterial SSU rRNA". It matches the Rfam family "Bacterial small subunit ribosomal RNA", at positions 501 to 992 of the family's 1533-position model. The record is from RNAcentral.
CUACGUGCCAGCAGCCGCGGUAAUACGGAGGGUGCGAGCGUUAAUCGGAAUAACUGGGCGUAAAGGGCACGCAGGCGGUGACUUAAGUGAGGUGUGAAAGCCCCGGGCUUAACCUGGGAAUUGCAUUUCAUACUGGGUCGCUAGAGUACUUUAGGGAGGGGUAGAAUUCCACGUGUAGCGGUGAAAUGCGUAGAGAUGUGGAGGAAUACCGAAGGCGAAGGCAGCCCCUUGGGAAUGUACUGACGCUCAUGUGCGAAAGCGUGGGGAGCAAACAGGAUUAGAUACCCUGGUAGUCCACGCAGUAAACGAUGUCGAUUUGGGGGUUGAGCUUUGAGCUUGGCGCCCGUAGCUAACGUGAUAAAUCGACCGCCUGGGGAGUACGGCCGCAAGGUUAAAACUCAAAUGAAUUGACGGGGGCCCGCACAAGCGGUGGAGCAUGUGGUUUAAUUCGAUGCAACGCGAAGAACCUUACCUACUCUUGACAUCCAGA